Molecule: long non-coding RNA, 1372 nt
Filed under: Anolis carolinensis (green anole)
Lineage: Eukaryota; Metazoa; Chordata; Lepidosauria; Squamata; Anolidae
Description: lncRNA (ENSACAG00000042791.1)
Source: RNAcentral
GAUUUGUGACUUCAUAUUAUAACACCCUUAAAUGUGCAAAAGAACAGAUCAUUUAACAGUAACCCAGAUAUGGCCAAGGAAACUCACUGGCAUAUGUUGCUGUAUUAGAUAGGAAUUGACUGGCACAAAUCCCACCAUGGGCAAAAUAUUCUGCCCCACACAAAAUUUUCUCAGCAUCAUGGAAAGGGCAUCAAAUUGGUCGUCAUUACAAUCUGAAGCUGUACUUUGCUGUCAGGGCAGGGAGAGAAGUACCUGAGGGUUUGUUUCUUUUUUGUCUCAUGUGGCAAAAUACUUUUAUGUUCUGAUAACGAUAUAACCCAGAAUAUCAAGGAAGAUAAUCUACAGUAUCUGCAUAGAACUGGGUUAUCUGAGUCCACACCGCCAUAUAAUCCAGUUCAAUGUGAAUUUUAUACAGCUGUGUGGAAGGGGCCAAAGAGAAGAGAAUCAAUUCAUUUGAAACAUGGUGCUGGAGAAGACUUUUAUGCAUAUUGUGGACUGCUAAUAAGGGCCAAUAAAUGGAUCCAAGAGCAAAUCAAGCCUGAAUUCUUCCUAGAAGCUGAAAUGACUAAACUAAGGCUGGAUCUACACUGCCAUAUACGGAGGAGGAGGAAAGAGGAGAAGACAGGAAUCAGCAUGGCACCGCGGAGCCCCUCAUUAUCACUCGCAGAGCCCUAAGGGCUCCAUGGAGCACAGUUUGAGAACCCCUGCUCUACACUAAUGCACAAAGAAUGGGAAAUAAACAAGAUGAACUUGAACUCUUAAUACAACAAAGCACAUAUGAUGUAAUUGGCAUCACUGAAACCUGGUGGGAUGGGUCUCAUGAUUGGAAUGUAGUAGAGGGGGUAUAACCUAUUUCUGAGAAGCAGAUCAAUUAUACUCUUCAAUAGCCCUGAUUUAGCAGGGGCACUCCAGAUUCAUCCUUUGUCAUCCCACUUUUUGAACUGCUUUUAAAAUAUCCCAAAUUUCCCAUCUGUCCUUGGUUUAAUUCAAUUGCUACAAAUUAUUCAAAGUACUUCUGGUUGCUCCGGUUGCUCCUAACAUGAAAAAAAAAAUUCAAAGUACUUGGCACCAAUUAACUCAUCAGGAGAGAGAGGACUGGAAUGGCAGAGUCUUGCUCUUUCCAGUAGGAGAAGGCAAAGCAAACUGCUAGACCUCUCCUAGCAUCUGUUCACCUCCUCAUUAAUAACUUUCAUUAUCUUUACCGCCCUGUGAUGCUGAAGUAUUGGGAGGAAUGGAGUGUAGGCCUUUAUAAAUCCAAAGAUCUGCACAAAAAUGUAUUGCAAAACAUUUCAUUGUGGCAUGUUCCCUACUGACAGAUGUAGUUGAUGCUACAUCAGAUUUAUUUUUAGGCUGCUGUUUAGGCAAAUAACAU